AACGAACGCUGGCGGCAUGCCUAACACAUGCAAGUCGAACGGGAUCCAGGCUUCGGCCUGGUGAGAGUGGCGGACGGGUGAGUAACGCGUGGGAACCUGCCCAAUGGUCUGGGAUAACCGCGGGAAACUGCGGCUAAUACCGGAUAAGCCCGAGAGGGGAAAGAUUUAUCGCCGAUGGAGGGCCCGCGUCAGAUUAGGUAGUUGGUGGGGUAAUGGCCUACCAAGCCUACGAUCUGUAGCUGGCUGAGAGGAUGAUCAGCCACACUGGGACUGAGAGACGGCCCAGACUCCUACGGGAGGCAGCAGUGGGGAAUCUUGCGCAAUGGCCGAAAGGCUGACGCAGCGACGCCGCGUGGGGAG
This 360-nucleotide ribosomal RNA is filed under the name uncultured bacterium. RNAcentral's name for it is "bacterial SSU rRNA". It matches the Rfam family "Bacterial small subunit ribosomal RNA", at positions 29 to 408 of the family's 1533-position model. The record is from RNAcentral.